CNUGGCUGUGUGCCUAGGUAUGCUAGUCGGACGAUCCCUUUGAAUUACUUGAGACUUCGGUUGAUUGUUUUUCUUUUUGGGAUAGUGGCAAACGGGUGAGUAACAUGUGGAUUAUCUGCCCUGAAGACGGGAAUAGCUCAUCGAAAGAUGGGGUAAUACUCGAUAGCCUUACAUUCUUUUAGUAUGUAAGUAAAGCUUUUGCGCUUCAGGAGGAGUCCGCAUCCUAUCAGCUUGUUGGUGAGGUAAUGGCUCACCAAGGCUAAGACGGGUAGCUGGCGUGAGAGCGCGGUCAGCCACCAUGGGAACUGAGACACGGUCCAUACUCCUACGGGAGGCAGCAAUUAGGAAUCUUGCGCAAUGGGGGCAACCCUGACGCAGCGACACAGUGUGGAGGAGGAAGGUCUCCGGAUUGUAAACUCCUUUUAUGAGGGAAGAAUAGAUGACGGUACCUCAUGAAUAAGCACCUGCUAACUACGUGCCAGAAGCAUCGGUGAUGCGUAGGGUGCGAACGUUAUCCGGAUUUAUUGGGCGUAUAGAGAAGCGUAGGUGUUUUUGUAAGUCUUUAGUUAAAUACCACGGCUCAACCGUGGGGAAGCUUCGGAAACUACAGAAAUUGAGACAGGAAUGGGCGAAUGGAAUUCCCAGUGGAGCGGUGAAAUGCGUUGAUAUUGGGAGGAACAUCAGUGGCGAANGCGAUUCGCUGGUCCUUGUCUGACACUAAGGCUCGAAAGCGUGGGGAGCGAAACGGAUUAGAUACCCGUGUAGUCCACGCCGUAAACAAUGGACGCUAG
This 791-nucleotide ribosomal RNA is filed under the name uncultured bacterium. Its description in RNAcentral is "bacterial SSU rRNA". It matches the Rfam family "Bacterial small subunit ribosomal RNA", at positions 35 to 819 of the family's 1533-position model. The record is from RNAcentral.